RNAcentral lists this ribosomal RNA (752 nucleotides) under Merica gigantea. RNAcentral describes it as "Sydaphera gigantea partial 16S ribosomal RNA". The stretch from base 1 to 595 matches the Rfam family "Bacterial large subunit ribosomal RNA", at positions 1803 to 2925 of the family's 2925-position model. The record is from RNAcentral. Lineage: Eukaryota; Metazoa; Mollusca; Gastropoda; Neogastropoda; Cancellariidae.
UUUAUCAAAAACAUGGCUCCUUGUAAUCCUGUAGAUGGGGAGUCGGACCUGCCCGGUGAAAUUAUUUAACGGCUGCGGUACCCUGACCGUGCGAAGGUAGCAUAAUCAUUUGCCUUAUAAUUGAAGGCUUGUAUGAAUGGUUUGACUUGAGCAAAGCUGUCUCUUUAUAAUUUUGUAGAAUUUUAUUUUUAGGUGAAGAAGCCUAGAUGAAAUUAAUAGACAAGAAGACCCUAUCGAGCUUUAAAUAAGUUAAUAGAAUUAUAUUGUUAAUAUAUAUAAAAAAUUGACUAUUAAAAAUUUUGGUUGGGGCGACUGAGGAACAAAUAAAGCUUCCUAUGUUUAAUAGAUGUUCGUAUAUUGAUCCAAGCUUUUUGAUUAAAGAAAUUAGUUACCGUAGGGAUAACAGCAUUAUUCUCUUUGAGAGUUCUUAUCGAAAAGGGGGUUUGUGACCUCGAUGUUGGACCAGAAUAUCCUAAAGAUGCAGAAGUCUUUAAGGGUUGGUCUGUUCGACCAUUAAAAUUCUACGUGAUCUGAGUUCAGACCGGCGUGAGCCAGGUCAGUUUCUAUCUUUAAUUUUUUAUACAAGCUUAGUACGAAAGGACCAGUUUGUAGUACUAGAUGCUAUAGAUGAAGAAAUAUAAUUAAUACUUGUCAGAUUAGCAAAUUUAAUGCAAUUGAUUUAGGUUCAAUAGAUAUAGGUGAAAGUCCUUUAUUUGACAGAAUAAAGAUGGCAGAUUUAGUGCAUUAGGUUU